AAAUUGAAGAGUUUGAUCAUGGCUCAGAUUGAACGCUGGCGGCAGGCCUAACACAUGCAAGUCGAACGGUAACAGGAAACAGCUUGCUGUUUCGCUGACGAGUGGCGGACGGGUGAGUAAUGUCUGGGAAACUGCCUGAUGGAGGGGGAUAACUACUGGAAACGGUAGCUAAUACCGCAUAACGUCGCAAGACCAAAGAGGGGGACCUUCGGGCCUCUUGCCAUCGGAUGUGCCCAGAUGGGAUUA
RNAcentral lists this ribosomal RNA (246 nucleotides) under Escherichia coli. RNAcentral's name for it is "partial 16S ribosomal RNA". It matches the Rfam family "Bacterial small subunit ribosomal RNA", at positions 1 to 243 of the family's 1533-position model. The record is from RNAcentral. Lineage: Bacteria; Pseudomonadati; Pseudomonadota; Gammaproteobacteria; Enterobacterales; Enterobacteriaceae. RNAcentral also lists the same sequence under 2 other names.